This 65-nucleotide transfer RNA is filed under the name Platycnemis foliacea. RNAcentral describes it as "tRNA-Ala". It matches the Rfam family "tRNA". From Rfam's summary of the family: Transfer RNA (tRNA) molecules are approximately 80 nucleotides in length. Their secondary structure includes four short double-helical elements and three loops (D, anti-codon, and T loops). The record is from RNAcentral. Lineage: Eukaryota; Metazoa; Arthropoda; Insecta; Odonata; Platycnemididae.
AGGAUAGUAGUUAAAUAUAACAUUUGAAUUGCACUCAGAAAGUAUUGAAUCUUCAAUCUAUCUUG